Molecule: ribosomal RNA, 460 nt
Filed under: uncultured bacterium
Lineage: Bacteria
Description: partial 16S ribosomal RNA
Rfam family: Bacterial small subunit ribosomal RNA
Source: RNAcentral
CCUACGGGAGGCAGCAGUGAGGAAUAUUGGUCAAUGGGCGCGAGCCUGAACCAGCCAAGUCGCGUGAGGGAAGACGGCCCUACGGGUUGUAAACCUCUUUUGCCGGGGAGCAACGGGCGCCACGUGUGGCGCCACUGCGAGUACCCGGACAAAAAGCAUCGGCUAACUCCGUGCCAGCAGCCGCGGUAAUACGGAGGAUGCGAGCGUUAUCCGGAUUUAUUGGGUUUAACGGGUGCGUAGGCGGUGCGUUAAGUCAGUGGUCAAAUUGAGGGGCUCAACCCCUUCCCGCCAUGGAAACUGGCGAUCUUGAGUGGAAGAGAAGUAAGCGGAAUGCGUGGUGUAGCGGUGAAAUGCAUAGAUAUCACGCAGAACCCCGAUGGCGAAGGCAGCAUGCCGGCUUCCGACUGACGCUGAAGCACGAAAGCGUGGGGAUCGAACAGGAUUAGAUACCCCGGUAGUC